GAUGAACGCUGGCGGCGUGCCUAAUACAUGCAAGUCGAGCGAACAGACGAGGAGCUUGCUCCUCUGACGUUAGCGGCGGACGGGUGAGUAACACGUGGAUAACCUACCUAUAAGACUGGGAUAACUUCGGGAAACCGGAGCUAAUACCGGAUAACAUGUUGAACCGCAUGGUUCAACAGUGAAAGACGGUCUUGCCGUCACUUAUAGAUGGAUCCGCGCCGCAUUAGCUAGUUGGUAAGGUAACGGCUUACCAAGGCAACGAUGCGUAGCCGACCUGAGAGGGUGAUCGGCCACACUGGAACUGAGACACGGUCCAGACUCCUACGGGAGGCAGCAGUAGGGAAUCUUCCGCAAAGGGCGAAAGCCUGACGGAGCAACGCCGCGUGAGUGAUGAAGGUCUUCGGAUCGUAAAACUCUGUUAUUAGGGAAGAACAAAUGUGUAAGUAACUAUGCACGUCUUGACGGUACCUAAUCAGAAAGCCACGGCUAACUACGUG
RNAcentral lists this ribosomal RNA (497 nucleotides) under uncultured bacterium. RNAcentral describes it as "partial 16S ribosomal RNA". It matches the Rfam family "Bacterial small subunit ribosomal RNA", at positions 28 to 507 of the family's 1533-position model. The record is from RNAcentral.